GGUCUGAGAGGAUGACCAGCCACACUGGAACUGAGACACGGUCCAGACUCCUACGGGAGGCAGCAGUGGGGAAUAUUGCACAAUGGGCGCAAGCCUGAUGCAGCCAUGCCGCGUGUGUGAAGAAGGCCUUCGGGUUGUAAAGCACUUUCAGCGAGGAGGAAGGUGGUGAGCUUAAUAAGCUCAUCAAUUGACGUUACCCGCAGAAGAAGCACCGGCUAACUCCGUGCCAGCAGCCGCGGUAAUACGGAGGGUGCAAGCGUUAAUCGGAAUUACUGGGCGUAAAGCGCACGCAGGCGGUCUGUCAAGUCGGAUGUGAAAUCCCCGGGCUCAACCUGGGAACUGCAUUCGAAACUG
This 354-nucleotide ribosomal RNA is filed under the name bacterium LimB-100-J-217. RNAcentral describes it as "bacterial SSU rRNA". It matches the Rfam family "Bacterial small subunit ribosomal RNA", at positions 289 to 635 of the family's 1533-position model. The record is from RNAcentral.